RNAcentral lists this unclassified non-coding RNA (361 nucleotides) under Hevea brasiliensis (rubber tree). The record is from RNAcentral. Lineage: Eukaryota; Viridiplantae; Streptophyta; Magnoliopsida; Malpighiales; Euphorbiaceae.
GAAGAAUUAGGCUAGAUGGAGAGGAUUAAGUAGGUAUGUUUGAUGCAAGCUCAAGGAUCAUAGUAGAACUAGUUCUGCUUAGCAGUGAAGCAUGGAAACGGCAAUAUUUGAAGUUGGCAAGACACGGCAAAGACACGUUUCGAGGCUGUGUCUGGAAAUUCUGAAAAGUGGAAACGUGUUUCCUAGGUUUCUUAAAAAAAAAAAAAAAAAUGAGACGGAGAAGAAGAAGAGGGAGAAGACUUGCCUGGUCGGCUACAAGAUCGACAUUCAUAGGAGAUCUAAGAGGUGAAGAGAUUUUUGAUGCGUUUGUUGGAUCUAGAAGCAAGAAUUUCAAAUUGGCAUCUACAAUCCAGAUUCGACC